UUAGGUUAAGUUAUGAAGGGCGCAUGGUGGAUGCCUUGGUACUAGGAGCCGAUG
This 54-nucleotide ribosomal RNA is filed under the name Levilactobacillus brevis. Its description in RNAcentral is "Lactobacillus brevis partial 23S ribosomal RNA". The record is from RNAcentral. Lineage: Bacteria; Bacillati; Bacillota; Bacilli; Lactobacillales; Lactobacillaceae.